GAAAUGCGAUAAGUAAUGUGAAUUGCAGAAUUCAGUGAAUCAUCGAAUCUUUGAACGCACAUUGCGCCCGCCAGUACUCUGGCGGGCAUGCCUGUUCGAGCGUCAUUUCAACCAUCAAGCCCCGGCUUGUGUUGGGGACCUGCGGCUGCCCGCAGGCCCUGAAAAACAGUGGCGGGCUCGCUGUCACACCGAGCGUAGUAGCAUACAUUCUCGCUCAGGGCGUGCUGCGGGUUCCGGCCGUUAAACGACCUUCAUAACCCAAGGUUGACCUCGGAUCAGGUAGGAAGACCCGCUGAACUUAAGC
This 304-nucleotide unclassified non-coding RNA is filed under the name plant metagenome. RNAcentral describes it as "partial contains 5.8S ribosomal RNA, internal transcribed spacer 2, and large subunit ribosomal RNA". The stretch from base 1 to 105 matches the Rfam family "5.8S ribosomal RNA", at positions 50 to 154 of the family's 154-position model. The record is from RNAcentral.